CCCAAAAAAAAAAUGGAGGACAUAUUGCAGUGUGCCACUUGCUCUUGUCAUUUCCUACAGCGUGAAACCAACAACAGAAAAUAGCCAAUCGGAAGAUACGCUUUUAACAAGGCCUAUAACACUUCCUGUUUGGCUUGCGAGCUUCUCGGGGUAUUACAGAGAGCAGCAAGUCUGACGAUUUUCCAUGACCAUCACGGAUGAUGUCAUCAUCACACCAGAUACAUUAGCACCCGGUCCACACGAGCACAGUAGUCCACCACCAAGUAUUCCAGCUACAGGUGCGCCUUUGUG
Long non-coding RNA from Syngnathus typhle (broad-nosed pipefish), 291 nucleotides. RefSeq lists it as uncharacterized. Lineage: Eukaryota; Metazoa; Chordata; Actinopteri; Syngnathiformes; Syngnathidae. The record is from RefSeq and is a predicted model, not a curated record. The transcript is spliced from 3 exons.